GCGCCGUUAGCUCAGUUGAAUAGAGCAGCCGCCUUCUAAGCGGCAGGUCAUCGGUUUGAGUCCGAUACGGCGUACCA
This 77-nucleotide transfer RNA is filed under the name Oscillospiraceae bacterium. RNAcentral describes it as "tRNA-Arg". It matches the Rfam family "tRNA". Rfam says of the family: Transfer RNA (tRNA) molecules are approximately 80 nucleotides in length. Lineage: Bacteria; Bacillati; Bacillota; Clostridia; Eubacteriales; Oscillospiraceae. The record is from RNAcentral.